This 468-nucleotide ribosomal RNA is filed under the name uncultured bacterium. RNAcentral describes it as "partial 16S ribosomal RNA". It matches the Rfam family "Bacterial small subunit ribosomal RNA", at positions 28 to 507 of the family's 1533-position model. The record is from RNAcentral.
GACGAACGCUGGCGGCGUGCUUAACACAUGCAAGUCGAACGGAAAGGCCCUGCUUUUGUUGGGUUCUCGAUUGGCGAACGGGUGAGUAACACGUGAGUAACCUCCCCUUGUCUUUGUGAUAACUUCAGGGAACUGGGGCUAUUACCGGAUAGGAGCUCCUGCUGCGUGGUGUUGGUUGGAAAGUUUCGGCGGUUGGGGAUGGUUUCGCGGGUUAUCAGCUUGUUGGUGGGGUAGUGGCUUACCAAGGCUUUGACGGGUAGCCGGCCUGAGAGGGUGACCGGCCACAUUGGGACUGAGAUACGGACCAGACUCCUACGGGAGGCAGCAGUGGGGAAUAUUGCACAAUGGGCGGAAGCCUGAUGCAGCAACGCCGCGUGCGGGAUGACGGCCUUCGGGUUGUAAACCGCUUUCGCCGGUGACGAAGCGUGAGUGACGGUAAUGGGUAAAGAAGCACCGGCUAACUACGUG